ACCAAAUCUCUUUGCCUUUUGGCUUAGAUCCAGUGUAGUAUCUGUUCUUUUCAGUGUAACAACUGAAAUGUCAUCAUUGAUGACUUUACAUUUAUGUUACAAAUUUAUUUAUUUUUGGAUAUUGGGUAGAUUGAUUUAUUAAAGUGGGCUUGCUCACAGUCUUUCUACAUAGUGUCGUUGCCACUGUACUUUUAUUUUGGCUUCUGACGCAAAUU
This 215-nucleotide small nuclear RNA is filed under the name Candida albicans. RNAcentral's name for it is "U2 snRNA". It matches the Rfam family "U2 spliceosomal RNA". From Rfam's summary of the family: U2 is a small nuclear RNA (snRNA) component of the spliceosome (involved in pre-mRNA splicing). Complementary binding between U2 snRNA (in an area lying towards the 5' end but 3' to hairpin I) and the branchpoint sequence (BPS) of the intron results the bulging out of an unpaired adenosine, on the BPS, which initiates a nucleophilic attack at the intronic 5' splice site, thus starting the first of two transesterification reactions that mediate splicing. Lineage: Eukaryota; Fungi; Ascomycota; Pichiomycetes; Serinales; Debaryomycetaceae. The record is from RNAcentral. RNAcentral also lists the same sequence under 1 other name.